RNAcentral lists this ribosomal RNA (466 nucleotides) under uncultured bacterium. Its description in RNAcentral is "partial 16S ribosomal RNA". It matches the Rfam family "Bacterial small subunit ribosomal RNA", at positions 45 to 525 of the family's 1533-position model. The record is from RNAcentral.
UGCUUAACACAUGCAAGUCGAACGUGAAGCCCGACGCUCGCAUUGGGUGGAAAGUGGCGGACGGGUGCGUAACACGUUGGUGACCUACCUCGAGGAGGGGGAUAACCCUGGGAAACCAGGGCUAAUACCCCGGAUGUCAAGGGGUUUAGACGUCCUUGACUAAAGCUCCGGCGCCUUGAGAUGGGCCUGCGGGCUAUCAGCUUGUUGGUGGGGCAAUGGCCUACCAAGGCUAAGACGGCUAGGGGGCGUAGAGAGCGCGACCCCCCACAAUGGGACUGAGACACGGUCCAUACUCCUACGGGAGGCAGCAGUGAGGAAUAUUGCGCAAUGGGGGCAACCCUGACGCAGCAACGCCGCGUGGACGAAGAAAGCCCUCGAGGUUGUAAAGUCCUUUUCUGAGGGGCGAUAAUGACGGUACCUCAGGAAUAAGUCCCGGCUAACUACGUGCCAGCAGCCCGCGGUAAAA